UUCCGACAAAGGUAACCCGUGGGUAACCACGGUUCACAAAGCUUAUGGGUCCGUCAUUGGCGGAUAGCCGAGUUGCCGAA
RNAcentral lists this non-coding RNA (80 nucleotides) under Desulforapulum autotrophicum. RNAcentral's name for it is "Desulfobacterium autotrophicum c-di-GMP sequence". It matches the Rfam family "c-di-GMP-I riboswitch aptamer". From Rfam's summary of the family: GEMM was predicted in a large-scale screen for bacterial structured RNA regulatory elements. Genes associated with GEMM are involved in a diverse array of functions, including chemotaxis regulation, signal transduction, secretion and chitin. The record is from RNAcentral. Lineage: Bacteria; Pseudomonadati; Thermodesulfobacteriota; Desulfobacteria; Desulfobacterales; Desulfobacteraceae. RNAcentral also lists the same sequence under 1 other name.